RNAcentral lists this ribosomal RNA (506 nucleotides) under Ulopsina szwedoi. RNAcentral describes it as "partial large subunit ribosomal RNA". The stretch from base 373 to 506 matches the Rfam family "Bacterial large subunit ribosomal RNA", at positions 2473 to 2607 of the family's 2925-position model. Lineage: Eukaryota; Metazoa; Arthropoda; Insecta; Hemiptera; Cicadellidae. The record is from RNAcentral.
ACAUUUUCUUUAGUUUUUGUUAAAGAUAGUCUCUGCCCUAUGAUAAAUUAAAUGGCUGCAGUAUUCUAACUGUACUAAGGUAGCAUAAUAAUUAGUCUUUUAAUUGAAGUCUGGAAUGAAUGAGUUUAUGAAGAAUUUAUUUUAUUUAUAUUAUUUUUUGAAUUUUAUUUUUGUGUUAAAAAGCACAAUUUUUUAUUAGGGACGAUAAGACCCUUUAGAACUUUAAUUAAUAUUAAUUAUUGGUUUUAGAAAGUUUUUGUUAAUGUUAAUUUUGGUUGGGGUGAUAAAUAAAUUAAUGUUACUUUAUUUUUAAAACUCAUUGAUUUAUGUAAUUUUGAUUUAUUUAUAAUUAUAAGAUUUAGUUACCUAAGGGAUAACAGCGUAAUUUUAAUGGGGAGUUCAUAUUUAUAUUAAAGUUUGCGACCUCGAUGUUGAAUUAAAAUAAAGUUAAGGGGUAGAUUCUUUAUAUUUAAGUCUGUUCGACUUUUAAAUUUUUACAUGAUUUG